Ictidomys tridecemlineatus (thirteen-lined ground squirrel) is the source of this 72-nucleotide non-coding RNA. The record is from Rfam. NCBI's taxonomy places the organism in Eukaryota, Metazoa, Chordata, Mammalia, Rodentia, Sciuridae.
GGGGAUGUAGCUCAAUGAUAGAGUUUGUGCUUAGCAUGCUCAAGGUCCUAUGUUCAAUCCACAGCAACACCA